Long non-coding RNA from Syngnathoides biaculeatus (alligator pipefish), 455 nucleotides. RefSeq lists it as uncharacterized. The transcript is spliced from 3 exons. The record is from RefSeq and is a predicted model, not a curated record. Lineage: Eukaryota; Metazoa; Chordata; Actinopteri; Syngnathiformes; Syngnathidae.
GUACGACACACUUUCCGGCCACUGUAUUAGGUACACAGACACUGGAGUCUCGGGGGAGGAUACGAAUCUCUUGACUGUGAGGCGGACGUGCUCACCGCUAGUGCACCGUGCUGCCCUGCUUGAUCAAAUGAGGAAGGAGGGAAGUGAUCAGUCACCGUGUACAGCGUCCACUUCCUGUGCCGGGGACGGCGAGAUGCCCGCCGCCACGCCGACGGCGCCGUUGAUCUCGGCCUCGUGCUCCCUGGCUUUGGCCCUGAGCUGAGCGAUGCUGCUGGAGCGCAGCUGCUCCGACCUCUGACCGGCCGCCGUCCACGGAGAAGCACCGCACGAGUGAAUUCUGACCGAUUCGGCGAAGUAUAUCAUAUGCGGUUUUGGCCGGACUCACCCACGCCAUCCACCAGUGGACCCAUGCCUACGGCCUGUGAGGCCAGCAGCAGCGCCUCCUUGCAUGGUUC